UAGGGAAUAUUGCUUAAUGGGCGAAAGCCUGAAGCAGCAACGCCGCGUGGACGAAGAAGGCCUUCGGGUUGUAAAGUUCUUUUAUAUGGGAUGAGGAAGGACAGUACCAUAUGAAUAAGUCUCGGCUAACUACGUGCCAGCAGCCGCGGUAAAACGUAGGAGACGAGCGUUAUCCGGAUUUACUGGGCGUAAAGAGCGUGUAGGAGGCAAUACAAGUUGGAUGUAGAAGCUCUCGGCUAAACUGAGAGAGGACGUUCAAGACUGUAGAGCUAGAGGAAGGCAGAGGUAGAUGGAACUCCGGGAGUAGUGGUGAAAUCCGUAGAGAUCUGGAGGAACAUCAGUGGCGAAGGCGACCACCUGGCCCGAUACUGACGCUGAGGUGCGAAAGCGUGGGUAGCAAACA
Molecule: ribosomal RNA, 403 nt
Filed under: uncultured prokaryote
Description: bacterial SSU rRNA
Rfam family: Bacterial small subunit ribosomal RNA
Source: RNAcentral